RNAcentral lists this long non-coding RNA (1320 nucleotides) under Heterocephalus glaber (naked mole-rat). RNAcentral describes it as "lncRNA (ENSHGLG00000044447.1)". Lineage: Eukaryota; Metazoa; Chordata; Mammalia; Rodentia; Bathyergidae. The record is from RNAcentral.
GUGCUCUAGAAAAGAGGAGGCAAGAGUGAAGGUCUUGCAAGUGGAGCCCAAGGAAAUGAGAGCCACGAAGAUUUUACAGCCGCGCGGUGUAGAAUGGAGAUGCUUCCUUCCUCUUCUCUCCUGGGACGGUAGGAUAUGUCUGCCCCUUCGCUGUGCAGGCUGCUGGACUGGCUUUCGGCAAACCAAGCUCUGCGAUGCUGGCUUCCCCGGCCGCCCUCAGCAUCUGGACCACAGUGGCCGCUUACAGCGGGGUUGGCUGUCUUGAGCCGGGCUCGGCAUCCCAGCUCCCUGGGGAGUUUCCCAGACUCCCGAAGUUCUUGCCGCAUGCCAGCCGCUUCCCAGGAAGUGUGUGAGGCUUCCAGGUCGGAGCCCGUCUCUCUCUCCACGGCUUCUCCCCUGUGGCCUGUGCAGGGGCCUCUCAGUCCCUCUAACUGCCCAGGGCCUCUCAGUCCCCUGUGGCACAGCCAGGGUGACAUCUAGUGGUACAAAAGCAAAGCUGCUCCCAACAGUCCUGUUCUCAGGACCGGUAUCGAAAGCCCUGGGGAGCCCGGUGUGUGAGCAGAGCCUGGAGUCUGUGCCUCUUGGACUGUCCCUCCAGCUGGCGACAGCCGGACGACUGCGGAGAUCUUUGUUCCUGGAGGUCCUGAGGAGGCCGUGGCCCCCUGAGCACGGCCUUGGCCUUCAUGGCGUCCGCCUGCCAGGGACCUGCUGUGGGGCGGGCCUGGGGCCUUGUCACUGGGGGUGCUGCCUCACGGCACCUGGCAGCAAGCCUGGCACCCACACGGGGCAAGCUUCCUCCCCUGUGCCACGGAGAAACACUGGGCACACACAGCGAUGCACACAGACACGAGACACACACACACACACACAGAGACACACACACACACACACACACACACUCAGCUGCCAGCCUGGCCCAGCCUCCAGCUCCGGGCGGGCAAGUGGGUGUGCCUAUUCCCACCGGGCCUCCCGCCACGGACCCCCUGCUGCCCCCCGAGAAUGUGGGCGGGUGGUGUCCAGGGCACUGCGUUCCCUCGCUCUGGCGGCCGUGACCGCAGCCUGGGGCUUCUCAGCGGGAGUCCACCGCGCGGCAGCAGGGCUGUGGCCCGGUGGCUCCGUGGAGGCCGUGUCCAGGCUUCUUCUGCAGCGCCACUGUGCGGUCCCCCGCGUGUCUGUGCUCACCGCUUCUCCCCCUCGCACCGGCCACGGGAGCCUGGGGCCUGCGGGGCCUCCUCUACCUGCACCGUUAAGAUGCGGUCCAAGGAGCCGAGACCCAGUGGGAAGCCCCUUGCACUUCCGCUCCCUGUUGCCGACUUGGAG